UGGGGAAUAUUGGACAAUGGGCGCAAGCCUGAUCCAGCAAUGCCGCGUGAGUGAAGAAGGCCUUAGGGUUGUAAAGCUCUUUCGCCUGCGACGAUGAUGACGGUAGCAGGAGAAGAAGCCCCGGCUAAUUCCGUGCCAGCAGCCGCGGUAAUACGGAAGGGGCUAGCGUUGUUCGGAAUCACUGGGCGUAAAGCGCGCGUAGGCGGCCGGUCAAGUGCGGCGUGAAAGUCCUGGGCUCAACCUGGGGACGGCGCUGCGGACUGUUCGGCUGGAGUCCGGAAGAGGGUGGUGGAAUUCCGAGUGUAGAGGUGAAAUUCGUAGAUAUUCGGAGGAACACCGGUGGCGAAGGCGGCCACCUGGUCCGGUACUGACGCUGAAGCGCGAAAGCGUGGGGAGCAAACA
Molecule: ribosomal RNA, 402 nt
Filed under: uncultured bacterium
Lineage: Bacteria
Description: bacterial SSU rRNA
Rfam family: Bacterial small subunit ribosomal RNA
Source: RNAcentral